AAUGUGCUGUGUGAGCUCCUGGUCAAGUACAACGUUCUGUGAUGAGUAGCAUUGGCUGGCGGUGGACAGUGCAGUUUGCAUACAUGACAUCACAAUGCCACAGCGGUGUUCUAACUGCAGCAGGGUAUAAAGCAGGGAGCCCAGAGCCCAUUCAUCAGUCUGACCUUGACCAGAGCUAACAACAACCAUGGCUCAGCUAAGAACAGUUCCUACCGGCAGAAGACAUGCCAAGAGAAGACAUGUCCACAGACAUAGCCACGUUCACAGAAGACAAAGACGCAGAAGGGCACCGAAACCAAAAAGCCACAGAAGAGCAGGCUACAGACGCAGACGCCGUCAUCACGUAGAAUGAUGGACGCGGUCCUGCGACUUCUCCCUGCUCACUGACUCUUCUGCAACAAAAUACCCCAAUCUAUGAAUGUACAUGACACAGUAGGACAAUGAAGGCUUCCUCUUCGGCAUACGCUUAUGUGUAAUCUUACCAGACUCCUGUCUUGUUCAGCAUCAAAAAAUAUAAAAAAAAUAAAAAAGCAUAGCAAAAAAAGAAAAAAGUAACCUACUGAGCAA
Molecule: long non-coding RNA, 567 nt
Organism: Pseudophryne corroboree (corroboree frog)
Lineage: Eukaryota; Metazoa; Chordata; Amphibia; Anura; Myobatrachidae
Exons: 4
Source: RefSeq, a predicted model, not a curated record